UCAGCUGUCUGCAGGCCCACUCACUGUAUUUUUAGCAAAGGCUUCCAACAGCAACAUGAAGCUGGGAGGUUUCCUUCUCCUGGUGACCCUCAUCACCCUCAGCUUUGAGGCGCAGGAGAUCCAGGCUGCAGUGAGACCACUGCAGAUUUUGGGGUCCUGUGUUGAGCUCUGCAGUGGUGACUGGGACUGUGACUUACAUGAGCGCUGUGUCAGCAAUGGGUGUGGCCAUAUCUGUGCUGCAGACUGAGGUCAGAUGAAGUUUCAUCCUUCUUCAUUCCUGGAGUUCCUAUCUGCAAAGAUGUCACUGGAGAUCCUUGUUCACAAAGACAGAUGAAAAGGGGGCCUGUGGAUGGAGAUUAUAAAGGAUGGGGGAAGUAGGGGAAAGAGGGGAUGUUUCUUUGAAUAAA
Long non-coding RNA from Condylura cristata (star-nosed mole), 407 nucleotides. RefSeq lists it as uncharacterized. The transcript is spliced from 3 exons. The record is from RefSeq and is a predicted model, not a curated record. NCBI's taxonomy places the organism in Eukaryota, Metazoa, Chordata, Mammalia, Eulipotyphla, Talpidae.